Dermacentor albipictus is the source of this 689-nucleotide long non-coding RNA. RefSeq lists it as uncharacterized. The record is from RefSeq and is a predicted model, not a curated record. NCBI's taxonomy places the organism in Eukaryota, Metazoa, Arthropoda, Arachnida, Ixodida, Ixodidae.
UAUGCUAUAAAUUAUUUUGGAAUAAUCCAUCCAUUUCUUGGCCAAUCCCCCAUCGUGGGUAGGAGCCACACGUGCCACAGGCUACAACAACAACAACAACAACAACAACGUUCGAUCGCGGUUGAAGUCCCGAGUAGUUUCACGGCCGCUUUCUUUGGGCUAUGCCGUGGACGCGGAGCCAGAGUAUAGUAACGGAAGCAGCAACCUCCCGGCAGCCUUGUGGCGUAGGUUGGGGCGCCAUGGGUUCUACAUGGAACGAGAACCUUCACAACGGAGGCGCCUUGGCGGCUGGAGCGGACUGCUGGGGUGAGGCAACCCCAUAGAAGGGGGAGCUCACUUUCACCUGCGGGGGCGUCGUCCACUUUGAGCGUGGCAGACCAGCAAGAAGCACCACCGGCCGAACCUACGUCAAGUGCAACCAAGAAGGGCACAUGAGCCGGGAUUGUGCCACUGCUGACUAUGGAGGACAACGAGGAUGCCUCAGGUGUGGCGAGGAAGGCCACAUGAGUAGAGAGUGAAUGCAGACACGUGGGCUCGACACACUCAGAUGUGGGUCGCUAGGCUUUGCGUGCAGCCAGAUUACGUGUUUUGUGUGUAUUUUGUGCUAUAAUAGCUCAUUCAUUUUAGGGAAUUUUGAAAUUUGUACUUUUUUGACGAUGAUGUUGAUAAAUAUAUUCUUAUACCUGCCA